CUUUUGCUAACCUCUUAAUAUAGUUUGUUCCGGACCCACGUUUUGAAGAAGUGAAAGAAUUUAUUAAAAGUGGUGUUUUUGGGUCUUUCAAUUAUGACGGGCUAAUGGGAUCCUUGGAAGGAAAUGAAGGUUUUGGUCAAGCUGAUUAUUUCCUUGUUGGCGAGGACUUCCCAAGCUACAUAGAAUGCCAAGAAGAAGUCGACAAGGCAUAUUGGGACCAGAGGAGAUGGACCCGAAUGUCAAUCCUGAAUACAGCAGGUUCAUACAAAUUCAGCAGCGACAGGACGAUUCAUGAAUAUGCACGUGAUAUUUGGAACAUUCAACCUGCCAUAUUGCCAUGCUAAUGACUAGCAGUUGCAGAGUUGGCAGUGCCACGGCUUCAGGAAGAUUGAAUGGUCUUUCAUCCUUAGUCUUCCAAGUUUUUCCUCCACAACCACCUCUCCUGUCGGGGAAGACAUGUAUAAAAUAAAAUUUUCUUCCAAUGUAAAGGAAAUCGCCGGAAAUAAAUGUGGUUCUAGUAGCCAAGUGCAAUAAAACAAGUUGCUCCAUAAGCAUGUAAGAAAUGUAAUUUCAAAAAUUUCGCCAAUAUCAUGAAGACGAAAAGUUGUAAUCGUCAUAAAAGCUACUUAAAUAAGAUUCACUCGAUAGCUUAGAUAAA
Non-coding RNA from Jatropha curcas, 658 nucleotides. The record is from RefSeq and is a predicted model, not a curated record. NCBI's taxonomy places the organism in Eukaryota, Viridiplantae, Streptophyta, Magnoliopsida, Malpighiales, Euphorbiaceae.